UACGUAGGGUGCGAGCGUUGUCCGGAAUUACUGGGCGUAAAGAGCUCGUAGGUGGUUUGUUGCGUUGUCCGUGAAAACUCACAACUCAAUUGUGGGCGUGCGGGCGAUACGGGCAGACUGGAGUACUGCAGGGGAGACUGGAAUUCCUGGUGUAGCGGUGGAAUGCGCAGAUAUCAGGAGGAACACCGGUGGCGAAGGCGGGUCUCUGGGCAGUAACUGACGCUGAGGAGCGAAAGCGUGGGGAGCGAACAGG
RNAcentral lists this ribosomal RNA (253 nucleotides) under uncultured bacterium. RNAcentral describes it as "partial 16S ribosomal RNA". It matches the Rfam family "Bacterial small subunit ribosomal RNA", at positions 524 to 776 of the family's 1533-position model. The record is from RNAcentral.